Non-coding RNA from Guyanagaster necrorhizus, 96 nucleotides. The record is from the annotation of a RefSeq genome assembly. Lineage: Eukaryota; Fungi; Basidiomycota; Agaricomycetes; Agaricales; Physalacriaceae.
GGCACUAUAGCUAAGUGGUUAAAGUGACAGAUUAGAACUUGUCUUAUAUUCAUCUGUUACUCUCUGAGUGCGUACGUUCAAAUCCUGAUGGUGUCG